AUGACAAAUGCGUUGCUGCAGAUUUCCGACUCCCUUCUCAUUUGACUGAAGGAUUUGUCACGGAAAAGCGAGCACAGAAUAAGUCGGAAUAUCAUCAAGUAUGGUAUUUGUGCCCAUUAGAAAAUUAAGCAAUGAAAAUAGCGAGGAAAUUCUGACAAAUCAGCAUGCACGCGACUAACCGCGAGCGACACAGACAUGAUUACAUCAACCGGAAGUUUAUUUUGGCAACCUUGUAACCCCAUGUCCCUCGCCUUCUGCAUAAACAAACUACGCUUCAUGUACCAGGGAGAAAGUAAUCCACCAGGCUCGUCCAAAUGGCUUAUACUACAGGACUUAAAAUGCAAAAACAAGGCGAGAGGCCUAGAACUAUCUUAUGAAAUUGGUCUUACGGUUGAGGCUUACGCGACGCGUGUUCGUGUUGCUUGCACAAUCAUGAGCCUUUCGCGAGCCUGCUCAUUUGUCAGAUUUCUCUUUGCUUCAUUUUCCAAUGCAUACAAAAACAAUAUUUGGUGAUAUUCAAGCUUAUUCUGUGCUCGAUUUUCCAUCAACAAAAUCUCCACUAAACAGUCAAAGGAGAACACGAGAGUUGGAAAUCUACAACGCGUCCGCCAUCUUGGAAGUUUGAGCUACAACAGUUCAAGAGAGAAAAAUAUGAACCCUGUAGAUGGACUGCCUGGUUUACCAUCAGACUUCUUUGAUAGUCCCUCAAAUUCUCAGCCAGAUGCUAAAAAGAUUAUACCCAGGUAUGUAGUAAUUACAUUACCUUGACCCACAACCUAACAACACUCCACAUCAGCUCAAUACAUGUAUUGUACCUCACACUGUACAUGCAUCUUUCUUCUGCAGUUCAAAUAUAUGAUAAUUUUAUUUUCUUCAAACAUUUACAGUACUCUUGCACUGAAGGGCUAUCCUAUAUAAAUAUUUGUUGUUAU
Long non-coding RNA from Orbicella faveolata, 932 nucleotides. Lineage: Eukaryota; Metazoa; Cnidaria; Anthozoa; Scleractinia; Merulinidae. The record is from RefSeq and is a predicted model, not a curated record.